AGUGAACGCUGGCGGUAGGCCUAACACAUGCAAGUCGAACGGCAGCACAGUAAGAGCUUGCUCUUACGGGUGGCGAGUGGCGGACGGGUGAGGAAUACAUCGGAAUCUACUUUUUCGUGGGGGAUAACGUAGGGAAACUUACGCUAAUACCGCAUACGACCUACGGGUGAAAGCAGGGGAUCUUCGGACCUUGCGCGAUUGAAUGAGCCGAUGUCGGAUUAGCUAGUUGGCGGGGUAAAGGCCCACCAAGCCGACGAUCCGUAGCUGGUCUGAGAGGAUGAUCCGCCACACUGCAAAUGAGACACGAUGCAGACUCCUAAGGGAGGCAGCAGUCGGGAAUAUUCGAGCAGGGGCGCAAGCCAAAUCCAGACAUACCGCGUAAGUGUAGAACGGCUUUGGCUUGUAAAGCACUUUUGUUGGGAAAGAUAAACAGCAGGGUUAUAAUUCGAUGUUCUGACGUAACCCAAAGAAUAAGCCCCGGCUAACUUCGUG
This 492-nucleotide ribosomal RNA is filed under the name uncultured bacterium. RNAcentral's name for it is "partial 16S ribosomal RNA". It matches the Rfam family "Bacterial small subunit ribosomal RNA", at positions 29 to 507 of the family's 1533-position model. The record is from RNAcentral.